AUGCAUUGUUUCAAACACGCUUUCAUCUUUUUUAAAAGGUAUAAUAUAAGCACAUUUAAUUUUUUUAUUUCUGUUCGUAAAGGCGGAGAAAGGACCUUAAGAAAUGACAUAAAUUAUGUUUAUUUAAAUGAACUAUUAACAUAUGAAAAAAAAAGUAUAAAAGACAAUAUAAUAAAUAACAAAAAAAAUAAAAUAAAAUAUUUAAUUAAAUUAAAUAAAGUAAAUGGUGGUAUACAAUUAAAAUGUACAACUUCUUUAAUUUAUUUAUUAUCAUUAAGAUGUAAAUAUAUUGAAAGUAUAUGGUUUAACGUUUCAAAAAAUGUACCUUGUACAUCUAUAGCUAGCUUAAAAAGUAUCAUAACAAAUAUUGACUGGAAUAAAUAUAUAAACUAUGAAGAUUUAAAAUAUAUUUCUUUAAAAAUUAUAUGUACGAAUUCGAAGUUAUUCGAUGUAUCGGCUAUUAAAGAGGCAAUUAACGAAUCCUUACGUUUGGUUGUGCAUAAGCAUGACACAAGUGGUUAUUUAUUUAACGACAAAAAUGUGAAUGACAGAAGAAGCGACCAAUCAAUAAAUCAAUCAAUAAACCAAACAAAAGAUCAAUCAAUAAACCAAACAAAAGAUCAAUUAAUAAACCAAACAAGAGAUCAAUUAAUAAACCAAACAAAAGAUCAAUUAAUAAACCAAACAAAAGAUCAAUCAAUAAACCAAACAAAAGAUCAUUCAAUAAACCAAUCAAUAAAUCAAUCAAUCUCCAGUUUAACUAUUAGAGAAGGUAAUGACACAUUAUAUAAUUUAUCUAAAAUGUAUAAUAAAAAAAAAAGUGUUAAUAACAAUGUUGAUACGUUUUGGAACUUAAUUUAUGUCCAUAUUGAUGAAAACAUAAGUAACAUAAAUUUAAAAUUUAGUGGUAAAUUAUCACCUCGUUUUUAUGAAUAUGUACAUAUGCCUGAACUUGAAUUUGUUAAAAAUUUUGAAGAAAGUAAUACAAUUAAUUUUAAUUCUCUUUUUAAUGAAAAAUAUCAAAUUAAAAAUAAAAAAAUAAAAAACAUUGUUCAUAAUAGUAUCCCUUUUUGGUCUAUUUCGGAGGAAAAAAAAAAGUUAAAUAUAGAUUAUAAUAAUAGCCUAAUUGAAACAGAUGAAAAUUCAAAACAUUAUAGAUAUAUUUAUUUUCGUGAUAAGGGGGUGAACAAAUAUAUAAAUAAUAACCAUUCGAAAAAUGAUACUGCCAUUAAUAUAAAAGAAAGAACACAUAAUAGCGUUUUAAUGAAAAUUAAUGAUAACGAUGAACAUAGGGUAAAUUGCAAUAAAAAAAAUAAAAAUGUAAACAACAGUAUCAGUAACAGUAGCAGUAACGGUACUAGCAACAGUAUCAGUAACAGUAGCAGUAACGGUACUAGCAACAGUAUAAGCAAAAGUACUAACGACAGUACUAGCGACAGUACUAGCAACAGUACUAGAAACAGUACUAGCAAUAGUAUAAGCAACAGUACUAGAAACAGUACUAGCAACAGUACUAGCAAUAGUACUAGCAACAGUACUAGCAACAGUAUAAGCAACACUACUAGCAACACUACAAAUGGCGUCACAAAAUAUAAUCCCCAAUUAUAUAACAAUAUUAAUACUUACUUAAAUAAUAUGGAAAUAAAAAGAAUGAAUUAUUACAAUAACGUUUAUUUUUUAUCAGAUGAUUGUUAUGAUACAGUUAGUUGUGUAUAUGCAUUAAUAAUUCAAAAAUGUUUAAAAAAAAAAAAAAGAAAAUAUAAAUAUUAA
Molecule: long non-coding RNA, 1770 nt
Filed under: Piliocolobus tephrosceles (Ugandan red Colobus)
Lineage: Eukaryota; Metazoa; Chordata; Mammalia; Primates; Cercopithecidae
Description: lncRNA (ENSPTEG00000014218.1)
Source: RNAcentral